Molecule: non-coding RNA, 7550 nt
Organism: Pocillopora verrucosa
Lineage: Eukaryota; Metazoa; Cnidaria; Anthozoa; Scleractinia; Pocilloporidae
Source: RefSeq, a predicted model, not a curated record
GUGGCGAAAUGAUUUGUAAAAUAUACAGUUGAGCAUUGUUUCAUUUCGUAUCCUGUAAUCAUUUAUACUUCAAAGAAGGCUUGAGCGGACAGUACCAUGGAUUCUGUAGCCGAGGACGAUAUAACUCUUCCUCUAGAUUUUGAUCGGAGCACUAACCUCGCAAGGUUCAGGGAGGCUGUUGUGGCGGGCACGGGAGGUGACAUGUUGGAUUCCUCCGCCGAAUUUUCCGAGGGAUUAACAGUACGACCUACAACAACAGGUACAGCUAAUCAAGACAGUGGUGGGUCUCCUCAAACAAAAACAAUGAAAGACUAUGAAUAUCAAAUAUCAGAGCUAAAGAAAGAAAAUUUUGGUUUGAAGCUGAGAAUUUAUUUCUUGGAAGAACGUGUUAACCAGAGUGGUGAUGUUCCAGAGGACAUUUUCAAGGCUAACAUUGAACUUAAGGUGACAGUGGAAAAGCUGAAGAAAGAGUUGGUUGAAAGACAGGAAUUGCUGGUUAAAGCCUCGAAUGCAGUGGAAACCUUUGCUCAAAAUAAUGACACACAGAUUAAACAGCUUACAGAAGAACACAAUGAAGAGCUGAGAGAGAUCAGGGAAGGAUAUGAAACAAAACUUAAAGAAAUGGAACAGGAAUUGGCAAUUGCUAAAAAUGAACUUGAGGACACAGCUGAUAGGCUUGCAGAGACUGCUAAUCUUAAUCAACAGUUGAAUGAGAAGCUGUUAGAAGGUACUGAUGGAUUCCAUGAUGAUCAGCAGCAAAUGCAAGUUGCCAUGAAGGCCACUUUAGAUGAGAAAGACAGGAUGAUAGAUGAUUUGAGAGGGUCUCUUGCUUCUGUACAGGCAGAGAACAAGGAUUUGAAAGAAAAUUUGGACAACCUGAAGGAUAUUCAAAGCCAGCUGGAGCAAAACAUCCCCCAUAGUUUAGAAAUGAAUGAGAAACAGAUCCUAGAGUGCCAGAGGAGAAUCAAACAGCUGACAGAGGAACUAGAAAACAAAAACCAUAAGUUAGAGGAACUGAAGGAGAAAGCCAAGAAAACAGAGAGGACCAACAGGGAGUUAAGAAAUCAGCUUCAUGACAAGGAAAGGGAACAGCAUCUUAAUUCAAGGAACUCCACCGAUAAUUCACUAUCUCUGAGUCAGAGGGAUGGCCCCAGGGACAGCGAGCUUCAGCAGUUGCAGACCAAAGUUCAAGACUUAAAUCAGAGUUUGACAGCAACACGAGAGGCAGCACAUACAGCCAAGAGAAAGUGGUAUCAGGCUUUUGAGGAACAUUCUGAAAUUCUUAAGGCAAGAGACGCCAUGAUAGCUGCUUUACAAAGCUCUUUGAGUGCAAAAGAUUUGGAAUUAGAGAAACUUAUUCAGUCCUUGUCUUCCAAAGAAGUUGAACUGCAGAGAUUGAACAAUGGGAAGCUCCUCCUUGAACAACGCCUUGAUGAAGUGUUAAAACAAAAAGAACGUGAGCAAGCUGAACUGAUGGAAAAACAUAAAGCGCUCUCUCAAGAACACUAUUCCAAGAUGGACGCUCUCGAAGAAGCUUAUCAGCACGUGACUGCUGGAGCUCAAGAACAACUCGAGGCAAAGGAUCGACUUAUCCAGAAGCUGGCAGCUAACAACAAGGAGAAAGACAAUUUAAUAGCGGACUUCGUAGAGGCUUUGAAGGGAAGUGGUAUGGAUGAUUCAGUGGUCAAGGGCUCAACUGAUGAUCAGGAGAAUCUUUUGAAGAAACUGACCAACUACACUAAAGAGAAGGAUCGUGCUCUCCAGGUUGCAGCUGAAGAAAAAGUGCGCGCUUUGCAAGGAAAGGAAGGCGAGCUACAGCAGUUAAGACAGGCCUUGAGAGAGAGAGACAGGCUGAUUGAAAAAAUCAACACCGCUGUCCUUGAAUCCCAAGAAAAGAAUAAACUAUUAGAACGGACAAGCAAAGAAAGAAGUGAAGCUUUACAAAAAAAGUUGUCGUCCUUCGAGGAUCAGCUUAAAGGAAAAAAGGGAGAUCUAGAAACAAAAGAAGCCAGUUUACAAGAGAAAGAACUUGUUAUUCAGAAACUAAAGCACAGUCUGAACCACAGGGAAGAGGAAUUGAAGGAAUUGAAGGACUUUGUAAAGAACGCUUUGAGCAGUCCAGACGAGGAUGAAAGUUUAAGUGAUGAGGCAAAGAAGGCCCAGGAAAUAUCGGAAUUGUUGAAAGAAAAGGAAAAACUUUUGGAGGAAAUGUUCCAUGAGCGUGCUAGGUUAUCAUCUACUAAUGAAGCCAACACUCAAAGACUCAUGGCAGCUCUUAAAGACAAGGAGACUGCACUUAAGGAGGCUGCUGCUGACUUAACACGUGUACAAACUGAAAAGAACUCCACCAUCCAGACACUACAGCAAUUACUUAGCAACAAAGAGCACGAAGUACAGGCCUUAGAAAACAGCAAAGCCUGGGCGUCCCAGGAAAAUGAGAAGUUAAUUAACAAAUUAAGGCUGACCAUACAAGACAAAGACAAGACUAUCGCAGGUCUUGUGGAAAGUGGACGAGAGAAAGAUAAGAUGUUGAAAGUGUUACAGGAGUCCAGUAAAAGCACACCAAAGGCCCCCAGCCCUGCCGAAGUGGCGGAACUAAGGCGAAAUAUUGGUCUAUUACAGGCUGAAGUGCAAAAGAAAGAUGAAUCUCUGAGGAAGCUUGAGUCGGAUUACAGAAACAACUUGCGGAAACUUCAAGGCGAUGAUCAAGAGAACAAGUUGAAGUUUGAGAAUCUCCAGCAUGAAAUACAGACAAGAGAUGCACUCUUAAAACAGGCAAAGGGUACAAUCGAUAAUCUUCGUUCCAGACUACAGAGCAUCCCUAAUUUAGAGGAUCUAAAGCAAAAGUUUGUAGAGCAGUCGCAGGCCUUGGCUGAGGCUCAAAAAGGGAAAGAGCAAGCACUUGUUGAUUCAGCCGCACUCAAGAAAUCUAACUUGGAGCUAGAAGCGGAACUGAAAGUUAAACUGAACAACAUUGAAAUGCUUAAUGAGGCUGCGCAGAUGAAGGACCGAAUCAUUAAGGAGAUGCAAGAAGAUCAACAGAAGCAAUUAAAAGACAUGAAAGAGAAUAUUGGAUAUUAUCAUAAGAAAGCUCAAGAACUUGAGGCCUCAAAUAAUUCGCUACGGCAUCAGCUUAUGGAGACAGAGGACCUGAAGAAUUCGCUCGAGCAGCAACUCGAAAGCUACAAGCAAAGGUUAAAUAAUCAGGCUUCUUACGGGGAGGAAGAAGUAAACCUUUUACGUCAAGAGGUCAGCAACCUUAAGGCCAGGCUACAAAGGACUGGUACGCCACACAGGGAAAGUCCUGGAGUGGGAGCGGGGGCCGAUGAACAGCAACUUGCCUCCAGCAAAACUUCAAGCCCCCAUCCGGCAUCUCCGUAUGACGCCGCUUAUCAGAGAGAGAUACAAGAACUCAAAUCGAGGCUUGAAGAUAGUGACCGGUGGAAUGCUUCAUUGCAGGCUCGGUUGAAUGAAUUACAGCCGCGAGUCAGUGGUUUUGGGGGCUCAAGUGGAGACAGUUUACCCUCAAAGGUUCAACGAUUAGAGCAGCAAGUGGAAAAAUUGAAGGAACAACUCAAACAGAGCGGCCAGCUGAAUGUUGGGCUCAAGAAUCAACUGGAUGAUAGUAAUUCGUUGCACAUGCAGACUUUGGCUGAGAAAGACGAUCUGAUAACAGAUUUGACUCGACAGAUUGAUAGUCUUCAAACGCAGUUAGACAACACGAGACAAACGUUCAGCGAGUUGGAGAGAAGAUUACAAGAUGCAAACAGCAGACUAGAAUAUUAUGCUACCAGUUUGAACGGUAGCCAUGACGAUACCCUGCUUGAGCGGGAACAAGAAUUGGAAAUUUUAAAACACGAGUUAGACGAGUUGCGUCGGAUUCAAGCUCGUAACCAAGCUCGUAUGGCCGCGCAGACGUCGCCUUUAAAGGACUGGACUCAAGGGUCAAGUGAUAAGUUGAGGGACCUGGAACGCAGAUUAGAAGAGAGUGCGCAAACGAACGAGCAGUACAAGAAUAUUUUGGAAGAGAAGGAAUUGGAAUUGCAACAGCUUAAAGCGAUGGAGGCAUCAAGAGAUAAAGAAAAGUCUAAAGCGAAUGAUCGAGAGAUGGCUGAAAUCGAAAGACUCCGCGAGGAAUAUGUAACAGGUAUCAAAACAAACGAAGAACUUAAAAAGGCUCUUGAAAGUGAACGGGAAAAGAACCGUGACAGAUCAAGGGCUUCGGAUGGAGUCCUGGAACUUCGGCUACAGCUUGACGAAUCCUUACAGAAGAACGAACACCUUCAGCGACAGCUUCACGAGAGAGCCCGAUCCGAGGACGAAGUUAACCGACUGAGGCACGAUCUACAAAAUGCUACCCAAAUGAAUGAAUCGUUAGGAUCGCAGAUACGGGAAUUCAACGAAUCUUUUUCCAAAAUAAAAGGGGUUAGGGCAGAUGCAGUAAAAAUGCAGAAAGAACUGAAAGAUGCUCAACGUUUGAAUAGAACACUCACAGAUCAGCUCAAAGAGACGAGGAAAUCUGCGGAGGAAGUUGGAAGAGUACAGCGUGAGCUUAGGGAGGCUAAAAUGAUGAAUGAUCAGCUUGGGAAACAGCUGUCUGAGCUCCUGAAUCACUCGGCGAAGAUGAAAACCCAAAUUGAAAAAUUGCAGCACGAAUUGCAAGAGAAAGAUAAGGUUAUUGAGACAUUACAGCUGAGACUUCAGUCCAAAGCUGACAUGCAGUCCAUAGCGCUGUCUCCAUUUUCGUCGCCGUCCAGACGUUUUGUAGAAACGCAAACCAGUCCGGCGGCUUCACCUCAGGGGAUGCGGGAGAGUUCAUCGCAAUCAAAUUCCUCGACUGAGGCCAUUGAGAAGCUUCAGCAGAUGAACAGAGUGCUGCUGGGAGAAAAUCAUCUGCUGAAGAGCAAACUGAAAGACUGUGAAAAGUUAAAUGAAACACUGAAGAACGAGAACGACUUGUUCUCCAGAUUACACAAUCAGUCCAACGAAACGCAAUCCAACAGCCAAAAACGAUCUAACAUGGACGACCUUUUGGCCGGAUUCAUGGCUGAAAUGCGCGAACUGCGCUUGCGCUUAGAGGAUAGUAUUCGCACUAACGAUGCGCUGCGGGCGCAGUUGGAGAUGCGAUUGUCCGAGGGGGCAGGUGACGGUAGUGCAUCGAACGCCCCUGAUCAAAUUAUUUUGAUUCGCGAGAAUGACUCGCUGCGGACUGAGUUACUGAAAAAAGAUCAAUCUAAUGAGAAAUUGAAGAAAACCAUCGAUGGAUUAACGCGAGAGCAAACGAGGGACAAAGAGCAACUCAAUCUUCUCCGCCAACAGAUGUUGGAGAGCACUAAAGUUGCUGAAAACCUCAGAAAAGAAUUGAGUGUUUACGAGAAGCUCUACAAACUGUCUUACGAAGGCAGGAACAUCGAAUUACAGACUGAUGGGCAAAGUUAUGGCAGUGAGGGACCUCGAAGUCCUAACAGCGAGUCACAGCAAGACGCCCUGUCGAUGUUACUGGCUGAAAUCCGAAGCCUACGAAUCCAGCUGGAGAAAAGUAUUGAAACCAACAAUGCAUUGCGACUUAGACUUGAAGAACAACUUAGUCGGCCUGCCAGUUCACCAUCCCAGUCUCCCAGCAGAUCUCAAGGCACGUUCACUCGACGGCUGAACUUCUCGGAGAGGAAGGGAGGGGAAGAUAUUGGUACUGUCGAGUCUGUCACAGACUUACAAAAUGGUGGAAUUUCUAACGAGGAGCAACAAGUUAUGAGUCAGCUUGAAGAGAAGUUAGACUCUCUAAACAAGUUUGCAACUGAGGCGUACAAUAGCGUUAUAUCAAGCUCGCAGACCGAUAGUCUGCCUUAUAUUGAAAAUAUUUUGAGAAUUAUUUUACAAUGCAAGGCGCUGUUGAAGGCAUUGCAUGUCGACAUUUCUCGUCAGCGUACACACAGUGAUCCAGAUGAUUCUGACAAAGAGAAUGAAAGUCUCAAGCUCGAAAUUGGAAAAUUAAGACGCCGACUUCUUAUUCAAGAAGAUAUAAUUAAACGCGCGUGUGAAAGACUCGAGACUACAAAUAAAGUCAAGGAGAGCACACGUGAUGAGAUUAUUGAACACUUAUCCGUCUCACAGAAGGUCUUAUCCGGUGCCAGGGGAAAAUUAGAGAAUCGUCUUCGUCCGAGCAAGGCAGCUAAAUAAUAAGGGUGCACAAUUGUAAAAUGAUAGGAUAUAAAGCUGUCCAAAAAGUUAAGUAUAUAAGUUAAAGAAAUUUUUUAAAAAAAUUCUAUAUUUUCGAUCAAUCGUAAAUCCAUUUUUCUAUCGCGAAAAUUGUUUAUUUUUUCAUAAAACAAUAACAAAGCUAAAAAUAGUGUUACUGAAGGCCAGUAUUUAAAAAUUGGUUUUCAAGUAACACCGAGGAGCUUCAGCAGGGCAGGUUCAUUGAUAUUGUACAUUCAUUAUUGAAAGUAUCUCAAAGGAAGUGAAUUUAUCAUCAUGUAAAAUGUUUCACCAAUAGAAAUGGUUUCGUUAAGUUAUUGUUUGUUUGUUUGGUUUUUUUUGCAUCUCCACAGUAGUUUAGGGCUUGAACUGUUACUUAGCUAAAUAAUAAUCUUAUCCCUGCAUUGAAAAAGGUUAAUUCCACCAUCAACGGUUUUCAAUUCGACUUGUAAUUCAUAAUUUAAAAAAAAACGCUAACUUCAAACCACCGUCCACGAAUGACGAUCAUUACACUCUUAUCGCGAGUCCAAAGUCCAUAGCAUGUACAGCCGUGACGUCACCCAAUACUUGAACAAAGCCUGUAACAACAAAGUAAUAAGGAGUAAUUGAUAGGAAGGAGGUAAUUAUUGUGAGAGUUGAAGUCUUGCCUGAAGACAAAACGGAAAAAAUACUAUUUUGUGUUGAAAACUUACCAAGUUCUCAUCCUGUUUUAGCACGAUAAAACUGAAACCAUGCGACACUUCUGCAUCACGUAACUGUCAGAAGCAAAACUUAAGCAUAACUUGACAUGCACAGUGUUGCGUCACCCUCUUAGCAACAUUUUCCAAUGAGUUAUCGAUGGUUUCGUUCCUCAGAUCUAAGUGACUUUACUUCUUUGUCCCUCUGCAGUAGUUUUAAUGAGUCGCCUUACAGUAGCCUCCAAAUAUUUUAUUAGUAACCAGCGAUCCAAAGGAAGAUAGGGGAAAGAGAAAUUUAGCUGACGGAGCCUGUUGUUGAUUUAACCGUGCCGCAACUUUCCCGGUUUCUGCUGCGUGAAUUGUGAGAGAUUCUACCAGCAAGGCAAAGUGUGGCUUCCGUGCCUCUACGUGAUAGUAUUGGAUAAUUCUUGACACAAGUGAUAAAAUAGUUCAGUUCCCUUUUCAAAAGAGGAUUAUCUUCUGCCAUAAAGGUCAAAUUAAACGUCAGUUACAAUGGUAAAAUGAAAAAUAACCUCAUGAAUAUAAAAAAAUUAACACCUUUUUUGAAAAAGUUGCCCAGCAUCACCCAAUGCGGAAAUUUUAAGACAUCUUCACUGCAAGCGGCGAAAAUAUGCUAUUAAAGACUAACAGAAAUGCUGUUGGUUCACCGAUAUCUUG